This 586-nucleotide ribosomal RNA is filed under the name Salmonella enterica. RNAcentral's name for it is "bacterial SSU rRNA". It matches the Rfam family "Bacterial small subunit ribosomal RNA", at positions 1 to 576 of the family's 1533-position model. Lineage: Bacteria; Pseudomonadati; Pseudomonadota; Gammaproteobacteria; Enterobacterales; Enterobacteriaceae. The record is from RNAcentral.
AAAUUGAAGAGUUUGAUCAUGGCUCAGAUUGAACGCUGGCGGCAGGCCUAACACAUGCAAGUCGAACGGUAACAGGAAGCAGCUUGCUGCUUCGCUGACGAGUGGCGGACGGGUGAGUAAUGUCUGGGAAACUGCCUGAUGGAGGGGGAUAACUACUGGAAACGGUGGCUAAUACCGCAUAACGUCGCAAGACCAAAGAGGGGGACCUUCGGGCCUCUUGCCAUCAGAUGUGCCCAGAUGGGAUUAGCUAGUUGGUGAGGUAAUGGCUCACCAAGGCGACGAUCCCUAGCUGGUCUGAGAGGAUGACCAGCCACACUGGAACUGAGACACGGUCCAGACUCCUACGGGAGGCAGCAGUGGGGAAUAUUGCACAAUGGGCGCAAGCCUGAUGCAGCCAUGCCGCGUGUAUGAAGAAGGCCUUCGGGUUGUAAAGUACUUUCAGCGGGGAGGAAGGUGUUGCGGUUAAUAACCGCAGCAAUUGACGUUACCCGCAGAAGAAGCACCGGCUAACUCCGUGCCAGCAGCCGCGGUAAUACGGAGGGUGCAAGCGUUAAUCGGAAUUACUGGGCGUAAAGCGCACGCAGGC